RNAcentral lists this unclassified non-coding RNA (7530 nucleotides) under Neodiprion lecontei (redheaded pine sawfly). Its description in RNAcentral is "rAB11-binding protein RELCH homolog, transcript variant X2". Lineage: Eukaryota; Metazoa; Arthropoda; Insecta; Hymenoptera; Diprionidae. The record is from RNAcentral.
AGCUGUUCACAACCGUCAAAACGAAACAGCCACGGGUGCCAGCUGGACAUUGGGGUUAUAUGAUACGUAGUAAUUAUUAGAACGUCCGUAGUCGAUUUAUUCUUUUGUUUCUAAACAAGCAAAUGCUCACACGACAUAUCACAUUCAUGCAACAAUUUCACCCACCCAUACUGUUGUAAACUACGCAGACGAAGAAUGGCCAAGUCCAUUGAAGAGGUUGAGGAUUUAUUCAGCACAAGUCAUACUAACGAACCAGUCAAAGAAGAUGCAUCGCAGCCAGCAAAUCCUACAGUAUCGUACGACGAUAUCGCAACCAAGUUACUUAACGAAAGACUAUUACUCACCGCAUUGGAGAUGCACGCUGAAUUAUGCGAAGCAGGAAGUGAACUGCCUAUCCUUAGGGAUUAUUUUUCAAAUCCAGGGAACUUUGAGACUCAAAACAUCAAGCCGGAGCCUUACAUUGCUUUGCCUAGAUCACUCAGUCAAGCUACCCUAGACUCACUCGAUAUGACAAGAUAUUCAGAGGACGGUGGCGGAAUAGAUGAACGUGUCGCUAUACUGGAAUUUGAGCUCAGAAAAGCAAGGGAAAAUAUUUCGGCACUCAGGGCCAACCUUACCGUCGCCACAGAGUCUGAAGCAAUGACGCCAGAUACAGGGCUUGACAAACAAAUAGUGAUUGAUUUCCCAAUCAAACCUCACGAACAGCGAGCGCUUAAUUAUCUUGUCAACGAGUACCUCCUAGCUCACUCCUAUAAGCUGACGUCUAUUACAUUCAGUGAUGAGAAUGAAAACCAAGAUUUCGAGGACUGGGAUGAUGUUGGGUUGAAUAUUCCAAAACCUGCACAGCUCUUGCAGAUAUACAGGGAAUUCAUGAGGGCUAGCGGCCACGACAAACCACACUCAGCAAAUGUCAGUGUACAAACAGAAUUUGUUCAAGAUUUGAAUUCGGAAACAGUUGACAAAGAUGAAGAGUUGAAAGAAAUGACUUUUGAAAUACAGCAAUUGAAAGAACAAAGAGCUGUUUUAGAGCAAGAAAAAUCAGAGCUAGAAGGACUUUUAGUUUCGAGUGAAACUGAUUUAAUACUUGGCGAGACAAAGGAUAGCACAGGGACGAUACAAACGAUAAACUCCAACUCAUCAACCCCUGAAAAGUUUGAGAUUCUUGAUUCGAUGCUCCAGGAUAUUUCUAACAUGACUCAAGAAUCUUGUGGAGAUGAUACAACCUCAGUUGUGACUAGCCUGAAUGAAACCGAUCCGGGAGAUCGAGAAUGGACAACGCUACAAUUGCCUAGACCUGAUGUAACGAAACAGCCACGACUGGAUUCUUGUGACUCUUCUUUCAGAAUCUUACCAGCCAAUUUUGAGAGAGAAGUAGUAACUCAUUGCGUGGUGAACACGUCCAAUCCCGCAACAGCAUUCAUAGAAGAUCCACUGAGGAAUGGCGUGACUCAGAAAAGUAUUAUUCACAUAUUGACGUACUCUUUGCCCAGAAUAAUACCAAACGUUAUACUUAAUAAAAGAGAAGAGACAAUACCUCUAAUUCUUAGCGCAGUACAACUGCACACGAACAGUCGCGAGAGGGAAAAGUUACUGCAGUUACUUUUUAACCUGAAAAAGAGGCCGCAGGAGGAGGAGAGAUUGAAGAUAUUAGCUGGCUUAGUGGCAAUGGCGAAAUGUUCGAAGACUUCCAUAGAAACUGGUGAAGUUUUGGGCCAGUGUUGGGAACAGAGUCAGCACAAGCAUCUGGAACGAAGACUGCUGGCUGCAGAAUGCUGCUCAGCCUUGGCUCCACAUAUUUCAGGCACAACAAGAAAUUCUUUAAUGCUUUCUAUGCUGCAGCAAAUGCUUCUAGAAGAUACGGAGCCCGUGGUCAGAGCUACUGUUGUCAAGACUCUGGCGCUAUUAGUAGCAUUAAUGGAUGAUCCGGACAAAUAUUUCCAGUGUGAAGAACUGACUCUUACUGCUCUGGAUGAUUCCUCAUCUAUAGUGGUUGAAGCUGCAGCUAAAAUUCUUGUACCAGUGAUAGCGCAAUGGGCGCUUACACUUGGAAGAUUUCAGUCCCAUCUGCUGCCACGAAUACUUAGCAAAUUAAGGAGCCAGCUAAAGCCCUCACACCACCAAAAUAUCCAGAACAAAAUUCAUUCUGACGGAGAUAGAGCUGUUGCAUCUAUCAAUGUGCUGCAGUACCUCCUACCGCAUACCGUUGUAUGCGUUGCUAACACUGAGAAUGUCAAAGCAUUUGUUCAAGAAUCAAAACCUUCGGACUUACCAGACGAGUUUUCCGCCCUUUGCCAGCUGUCCCUGUUAAAUCCGAGAGUAUUUUAUGAAGGCGAUAUGGACAUUACAGCUGUGCUUCACGCAUUCUUCGCAAAUACAUGGGAAAAUGACACUUGGCCAGAAUUAGAGUGGCUAUCUAAUAAAUUAUUACCAGAUGUAAUUGACGUAGUGAAAUCGAUCAACGUUACCCAAGAAGCUGUUUUGAAUGCUUUCAUCACAUAUAUACAUUCUCUCUGCUGUGCCUUUGGCAGACACAUAACUGUAUCAAAGAUUCAGCCCAUUUUUGCUGCCAAAUUGACGGAACUUGAGCAACAACUCAUAAUGUUGACACCCGACAGAGGAGCUCUGAGCUUAAUGUUGAUUCCGGCAUACUUGACGAUUCUAUCGACCCUUGAUGUGACUGAAGUAACGAAAGCAUUGAAUCAAUUUAUUGUUGCCGUGGCUAUAAGCGGCGUCAGCAGUGCAAGUCUACAAAUGGCUGUUAUCAGACUCUGUAAUGAAACUCGACUGCAGGAACACGUUCUUAACGCUCUCUGGGAUGGAGUGGUUCAUCAAAGAUCGACAGUCCGAUGUGCGACUGCAGUUUUAUUCAGUUCUGUAAUAUCUCAUAUUACGGACCAUUUAGCCAACACAAGAGUAGCACCAGCCAUAGUGACACUGGCCAAUGACACUGAUUUAACAGUCAAAGCUGCCGCUAUCCCAGCACUAGCUCAUCUUGUCACUGAGUGUGGAGCCAAAGAGGCAAGGGAUAAAGCGCGGUUGACACUGGAAAUGAUAGCUCGAGAACCACAGGGCAUCCCGUCAUCAUUGGCAGUUUCUUUGGUCACUGCUCUCUCAAGUAUCGCGCCAAACUGUCCCCAAAAUUACACAGAAGAUGUGAUAGCUACCCAGUUAGCGGGCAUAACGGCCUCCGCUCUUCAGCAGGGGCGAAAAAUCGAGCUCACAAAUUCCCUCGUCGAAGCCUACUCGGUCCUUGUCUACUGUCCACUCAGUAAUCAAUGCAUUACCGGUGUUCUUUUGCCUGGGCUUAGGUACCUUGAAGUGCUCGUCAACCAAACCCAACCUCAGCACAUAGAAUUAGUGAAUUCAUUACUCAAGGAGGCCACGUCCAGGCUAGAUUCCCAGAAGCCAUUGGAACGAUCGGCAUCAUCAAGUUCCGGGCUGUCUCUUGCGAUAGCGAACGUGAACGUUGGUCAGGGAGUGGAGGACAUGUGUCAGAGGAUGAGUAAGAUAUUCCAACAGAAGUCAAACACGCCUAGUAUGGCAAAUAUAUUUCGUAAAAAGUAAACAGUUAAUCAGUGAACUGUAAUUAUUUUUAAAAGAAUGUUAGGUCACUUGAAGCACAUCAGUUCGACAUUGUUUCAGAAGAUUGAGUUUUAUAUCCAAAAUAGAAGCCAGAUCGAAUUGUUUUUGCGAAAAGAUAUUCGUAUCGUAUCAACAAAGUGUGCUAUGAUUUUAGCAGGGUGAAAAUUGAUUGGGUGUAUGUUAGACUGGGCUAAAAAAAUUGACUAUUUUUUUUUUUUUUUGAAAAAUAUAUUGAGAAUAUCAUUCAGUAUGGCAAAAAAAAAAUGAUAUUCUCAAUAUAUUUUUCAAAAAAAAAAAUAGUCAAUUUUUUUGGCCCAGUCUAGUGUAUGUGAGUAUAUCCAUCUGCACCUGUGCAAGGAGAGUUCGAUCGGGCUCAUAUCGGGCUCAUGUUUUUGGGGUAUCAUAUUAUGCUUUCUCCUAAAACCCUGUCGGACUGAUGUACAUCCGUAACGUCAUUCCUUCCUGCGUCACUUAUAUUUUAUUGUAUAUAAUUAAUAAGAAUAGGAAUUGAAUUCAAUAACAAGGAUAGUUUGAAAAAAAAAAAAAAAUCAAGUCUGAGAGGAUAGAAUGAAUUUUGAAUUGAUUAUUAUUUUAUAUGUUGCAGAGCUCAUUUCGUAUUUUCUUUUUUAUGUAAAUGAAGAACGGGAAUUGUGGAUAAAAGUUUAUUCACACAUAGCAUUAUAUCACAUAUACAUUAGGGUGGUUCAGGAAAAAAAUGUUGUUUUCGCUUUCACCCCCUGAAAUGUAGGUGUUUGAUAGAAAAAAAGGUUGCUGAUUCGAUUUUUAUUUCCAUUCGUUUAACAUGGAAACGUGUCAUUUUUCAUUAAGACUUAAAAUACUCGGAACUAUUCAAAUUUUUCAAAUUCAUGCAUAGAUCUUUCGAGCUGGGUCUUCAAGUUUUUCAAAUCUCUAUAAGAAAGCAUAGUUACAAUUAGAAAAGACAUUACAGUCAUCUGAAAACUACUCAUUUAUACCGAAACGAAAAAAUCGGUAGUGUUCUGAUGAUGAUAAUUAUGGAUUGUUAUAUAGAGCUGGGAAGCUUGAAGAAUCAGCUUCAAGGAUCUAUACAUGGAUUUGAAAAAUACAGAAUAGUUUACGAGUAUUUUAACUUUGAACGAAAAGCGAAAUCUUCCUAUGUUAAAUAAAUGUGAAAUCAAAGUCACAAGAGCGACUUCUUAGACUUGAGCUUGAGAGGUUGUUUAAAAAAAAUGUGUUGGAAAAAAAAAAUUCUCGAACCAUCCUAUUAUACAUUAUACAUAUUUGUAUGUUAUUUCGUUAUCAUUCAGUAUACAUAUACAGGUAUGGCAGUUUUCUGACCGCACAAAGCAUUGAAGAAACGUAUCAGUCCAGUCAUUGUGUCCGAAAAGAGGCAAAGAAAGAAAAAUAAAUCGAAAAGUUUAAUUUUUAAACAUUGUGUGGGCGUGGGGGCUUCGAAAACUCAACCUCAAAUUGUCGACCAAGAUUCUCUAUAAGCCUUCUCCGCCAUCUUGAAAAGGGUAAUUUUUUUCGAUAACUCGGCUCUUCGACGUGAUACAAAAAUUUCGAUCAUAUACUUUGUUUUAGCUUUUUUUACGCUCUGCAAUUUGAGUUUCAUAAUUUUUUCACUUAUUAUUCAUAGUUGUUGAAACAUCGAACGAAACAGAGAAUAAUUAAGAGAUUGAAACUCGGUUUUUCCAUUUUUACAGCAAUCCUCUAUAGAAUUGCUCUAAUAAAGUUCUCGACAACUUUUGUACAGAACAUUUAUUUUUAUAAUGCAGUUUUUGAUUUAUAGCACAGCAAACCUUUCCAACCAUGGUUAUUGCUGAAUAUACACAUAGUUAACGAUUGAUGAAACUGUAAAAUUGGCCAAAAUCACAUUUGUACAAUAUAGAUUUUAUUCCGAACUUUUCUUCCUGUAAAAUUGAUAUCUUAAGAGAUAUACCUACAGCGUAAACAUUGCGUCGCGUGAGUGAUCAGUGGAAAUGUUAAUCGUAACACACUCGUAGAAUUUCAUAAAAUGGCAAAAAGUUUUCAGAACAAUGACAAUACUGUGUAGUGAAUCUGUGAAAAUUGUAAAUAGUGUCAAAAACUACUAAUAAUUUAUAAAUCUUUCUUACCUGCAUAGGUAGAACGUCUUAUACAUCAUGAAAAAUUUUAAAUGCAGUGUGAUGCAAUUGUUUGUACAUCAUGUUAUUUUAUAAAAAUGAUGAUGACGAUAGCAAUAACAACAACGAGAGUGACAAUAAUAUCAAUAAUCAUGAGAAGUCAAAGACGGAGAAGAGAAUAACAGACUUCAAUGGAUGCAAAUUAAUUAAUUGAGCUGCAAAUUUCGAUCACAGUACUACCUCGUUAUAAGAGUGUCAGGGCGGUUAGGGGAAUAGGAUUCUAAGAAAUUCGGCGCCUGGACUCGAGAAUCGCACACACGUCGAUGAUCGUCACCACUCCUCGUUAUGAGAUAAUCACAGUUAUGUAUACGAAUGCAAUGCCUUCGUGCAUGAUUCGACGCAAUCGCUCUUUCGCUUAUAAUGAGGAGUCCUCGGUAAAGUUAGGAGACCUCAGGUAGAAGGAUAGAGUGGGGAAAGUUCUAAAACCCGCUCAAGCGGAACGCAUGGGAAAUCUAUACUACAUGUAAUAUAUAAAAUUCUUUGUAUGUAUGUUUGUACGGAUUUAACUUAAGAUCUAUUUGACGGGUUUUGAUGAAACUUUUUUUAAAAUGUUCUUUAUAAUUCCAGAAGUGCUAUAAGCUAUGUUAUAUUUAACUUUUUAAAUAAAAUUUUGAGUUCAUAAUCAAAGUUUUAUGCGUUCUGUACUACUUGAGCUAUUGCUGAGACCCACCGUUGCUCCAUCACUCCGAUCGCCCGUAGUGGGGGUUAAGAUUAUUGGCCGGGGGAGUAUGAUUAGAAGUAGGAGACGCAGAGCUAGAUCUGUAAUGUUCUUGCGGGAAAGCUCGCGCGACGGGCGUCCUGUGCAGAUCUUUGGAAGCGUCCAUAAAUUACGUCACCAGUUUUUUGGGGAGAAGGGGGGUGUCAGAUUACGACGAAAAAUGACUUGGUGAAGGGGGAGGGUUUAGAAAUUAUAACGUCCAUGCAAAAGGCCAAAUUCACAAAUAAAAAUUUUCGGUCGGUAACAAUGAAUACUGCGCGUGAUGUUUUCUUCCUGGUAACAAGGGGAGUCUAGAUUUAUUCGCGGGGUGGCGGCAAUCUGUGUUAUGUCAUUUGGAGGGGGGGUCUUUCAAUCUGACAGUUGAUGACAAAACCAUCCCUCCUCCAGGGGGUCAAUAUUCAAAAUUUGAUUACGUAGUUUAUGGACGUUCCCUCUUCUGUGAAAGCAAUAAUUUUUCUUCAUGAGAAUCUUCCACGAGAUCCAAUUUUAACGAUUAAAGAAAAAACUAUCACCCGGGAUUCGCUACGCCGGGUAUUUCUGCUGAGUUCUCUUAUAACGAGGUAGUGCUGUAAUUAAAUUUCAACAAGAAUAAGUUUCUAGCAUAUCAUUCUUCUGGGCGAAUUUUAUGGUUGUUCGUGGGAUAUUUUCAUAAAUCUUAUUGUAAAAUUAUGAAUCAGCUCCCCAAAUAUUUGAGUGCCAAAGUAAUCCGCCCUGCUUCCCUAUCUGCUGAUGUGAUCGUACUUAAAGAGGCGAUGGGUCUAUACCCUCUUUGCUAUGGGAAGUCGUAACUCCUGCAGGUAAAUAAAUCUAUUAUUAUUGUUGUUGUUAUUAAUAUUAUUAUAAUUAUUUUUAUGAUACACCAUGAUAUACAAACAAUUGUAUCGUGCUGUAUUGACAAUUUUUGAUGAGGUAUAAGACGUUCUACCCAUGCAGAUAAGAAAGAUUAUUACUAGUAAGAAAUCAUUACUAAUUAUUUACACUAUUUAUAAUUUUUAUAGAUCUACUACACAGUAUUGUCAUUUUCACUGAUCAUUCACGCGACACAAUGUUUACAGCGCUAUAGCUUUUAAAGUAUCAAUUUCAGAG